RNAcentral lists this ribosomal RNA (549 nucleotides) under uncultured bacterium. RNAcentral's name for it is "bacterial SSU rRNA". It matches the Rfam family "Bacterial small subunit ribosomal RNA", at positions 355 to 896 of the family's 1533-position model. The record is from RNAcentral.
UGGGGAAUAUUGGACAAUGGGCGAAAGCCUGAUCCAGCCAUGCCGCGUGUGUGAAGAAGGCCUUUUGGUUGUAAAGCACUUUAAGUGGGGAGGAAAAGCUUAUGGUUAAUACCCAUAAGCCCUGACGUUACCCACAGAAUAAGCACCGGCUAACUCUGUGCCAGCAGCCGCGGUAAUACAGAGGGUGCAAGCGUUAAUCGGAAUUACUGGGCGUAAAGCGCGCGUAGGUGGUUAUUUAAGUCAGAUGUGAAAGCCCCGGGCUCAACCUGGGAACUGCAUCUGAUACUGGCAAGCUUGAGUCUCGUAGAGGGGGGUAGAAUUCCAGGUGUAGCGGUGAAAUGCGUAGAGAUCUGGAGGAAUACCGGUGGCGAAGGCGGCCCCCUGGACGAAGACUGACGCUCAGGUGCGAAAGCGUGGGGAGCAAACAGGAUUAGAUACCCUGGUAGUCCACGCCGUAAACGAUGUCGACUUGGAGGUUGUGCCCUUGAGGCGUGGCUUCCGGAGCUAACGCGUUAAGUCGACCGCCUGGGGAGUACGGCCGCAAGGUUA